RNAcentral lists this ribosomal RNA (594 nucleotides) under Salmonella enterica subsp. enterica serovar Bovismorbificans. RNAcentral's name for it is "partial 23S ribosomal RNA". It matches the Rfam family "Bacterial large subunit ribosomal RNA", at positions 1 to 624 of the family's 2925-position model. The record is from RNAcentral. Lineage: Bacteria; Pseudomonadati; Pseudomonadota; Gammaproteobacteria; Enterobacterales; Enterobacteriaceae.
GGGUUGUGAGGUUAAGCGACUAAGCGUACACGGUGGAUGCCCUGGCAGUCAGAGGCGAUGAAGGGCGUGCUAAUCUGCGAUAAGCGCCGGUAAGGUGAUAUGAACCGUUAUAACCGGCGAUACCCGAAUGGGGAAACCCAGUGUGACUCGUCACACUAUCAUUAACUGAAUCCAUAGGUUAAUGAGGCGAACCGGGGGAACUGAAACAUCUAAGUACCCCGAGGAAAAGAAAUCAACCGAGAUUCCCCCAGUAGCGGCGAGCGAACGGGGAGGAGCCCAGAGCCUGAAUCAGCAUGUGUGUUAGUGGAAGCGUCUGGAAAGGCGCGCGAUACAGGGUGACAGCCCCGUACACAAAAGCGCAUGUGCUGUGAGCUCGAUGAGUAGGGCGGGACACGUGGUAUCCUGUCUGAAUAUGGGGGGACCAUCCUCCAAGGCUAAAUACUCCUGACUGACCGAUAGUGAACCAGUACCGUGAGGGAAAGGCGAAAAGAACCCCGGCGAGGGGAGUGAAAAAGAACCUGAAACCGUGUACGUACAAGCAGUGGGAGCACCCUUUUGGGGUGUGACUGCGUACCUUUUGUAUAAUGGGUCAGC